ACUCAAAUGAAUUGACGGGGGCCCGCACAAGCGGUGGAGCAUGUGGUUUAAUUCGACGCAACGCGAAGAACCUUACCUGGGCUCGAAGUGCUGGUAGUAGUUCCUUGGAAACAGGGGGCGAACCGUCAAGUCGGUUGCCAGUAGAGGUGCUGCAUGGUUGUCGUCAGCUCGUGUCGUGAGAUGUUGGGUUAAGUCCCGCAACGAGCGCAACCCCUAUCCCAUGUUGCUAAUCCCGCAAGGGAUGCACUCUUGGGAGACUGCCUCGGAUAACGGGGAGGAAGGUGGGGACGACGUCAAAUCAUCAUGGCCUUUAUGUCCAGGGCUACACACGUGCUACAAUGGCCGGGACAGCAGGACGCAAUACCGCAAGGUGGAGCAAAUCCCUAAACCCGGCCCCAGUUCAGAUUGUGGGCUGCAACCCGCCCACAUGAAGUCGGAAUCGCUAGUAAUCGCAGAUCAGCAGGCUGCGGUGAAUACGUUCCCGGGCCUUGUACACACCGCCCGU
RNAcentral lists this ribosomal RNA (505 nucleotides) under uncultured bacterium. RNAcentral describes it as "partial 16S ribosomal RNA". It matches the Rfam family "Bacterial small subunit ribosomal RNA", at positions 899 to 1397 of the family's 1533-position model. The record is from RNAcentral.